Molecule: long non-coding RNA, 221 nt
Filed under: Malus domestica (apple)
Lineage: Eukaryota; Viridiplantae; Streptophyta; Magnoliopsida; Rosales; Rosaceae
Description: long non-coding RNA (MDOM_LNC006526)
Source: RNAcentral
CUUUGCCAAAGUUCUCUGCCAAAGUUGAGCACGUGAAGCUUGCAGCUCCCACUACAUCGCUCUGACCAAGAAAGGUAAAAGAAUAGCAAAGAAACAGCACUAACAAAGUUUAGAUACAUAAAUUUUGAAGGUCUAGCUACCAUAUUAUUACCCACAAGGGUAAAGGAACAGUACCACUGCUGGAUAAUUGGAAAGUCCCUGUGUGUCAACCUCUGUGCUUC